GACGUAGGGCGCGAGCGUUGUCCGGAUUUAUUGGGCGUAAAGAGCUCGUAGGCGGCUUGUCGCGUCGUCCGUGAAAACCUGCAGCUCAACUGCAGGCUUGCGGUCGAUACGGGCAGGCUAGAGUUCGGUAGGGGAGACUGGAAUUCCUGGUGUAGCGGUGAAAUGCGCAGAUAUCAGGAGGAACACCGGUGGCGAAGGCGGGUCUCUGGGUCGAUAUUGACGCUGAGGAGCGAAAGCGUGGGGAGCGAACAGG
RNAcentral lists this ribosomal RNA (253 nucleotides) under uncultured bacterium. Its description in RNAcentral is "partial 16S ribosomal RNA". It matches the Rfam family "Bacterial small subunit ribosomal RNA", at positions 524 to 776 of the family's 1533-position model. The record is from RNAcentral.